This 302-nucleotide unclassified non-coding RNA is filed under the name uncultured Sebacina. Its description in RNAcentral is "sequence contains 5.8S rRNA gene". Lineage: Eukaryota; Fungi; Basidiomycota; Agaricomycetes; Sebacinales; Sebacinaceae. The record is from RNAcentral.
GAACGCACCUUGCACCCUUUGGCAUUCCGAAGGGUAUGCUCGUUUGAGUGUCAUUGUACUCUCACACUCUCUGAUCCUUUGGGAUUCGGGGAGCGGUGGACUUGGGUGUUUGCUGCUUUCCUUGUGGCUCACCUCAAAUGCGUCAGUGCACCUCUUGGUUGGACAUAGUACGGCGUGAUAAGUGUCUUCGCCGGCACCUCGCAAGAGGGUGGUCAAUUGGGAGCUCUGUGCUUUCAAACCGUCUUCGGACAAUAUCUGACAACUUGACCUCAAAUCGAGUAGGACUACCCGCUGAACUUAAG